This 253-nucleotide ribosomal RNA is filed under the name uncultured bacterium. RNAcentral's name for it is "partial 16S ribosomal RNA". It matches the Rfam family "Bacterial small subunit ribosomal RNA", at positions 524 to 776 of the family's 1533-position model. The record is from RNAcentral.
UACAGAGGUCUCAAGCGUUGUUCGGAUUCAUUGGGCGUAAAGGGUGCGUAGGCGGCGCGGUAAGUCGGGUGUGAAAUCUCGGAGCUUAACUCCGAAACUGCAUCCGAAACUGCUGAGCUUGAGUUCUUAAGAGGAUCGCGGAAUUCCCGGUGUAGAGGUGAAAUUCGUAGAUAUCGGGAGGAACACCAGUGGCGAAGGCGGCGAUCUGGGAAGAUACUGACGCUGAGAGGCGAAAGCGUGGGGAGCAAACAGG